UCCGUAGGUGGAUAAUUAAGUCAGAGGUGAAAUCCUGCAGCUCAACUGUAGAAUUGCCUUUGGUACUGGUUAUCUUGAGUCAUUAUGAAGUGGUUAGAAUGUGUAGUGUAGCGGUGAAAUGCAUAGAUAUUACACAGAAUACCGAUUGCGAAGGCAGAUCACUAAUAAUGUACUGACACUGAGGGACGAAAGCGUGGGGAGCGAACAGGAUUAGAUACCCUGGUAGUCC
RNAcentral lists this ribosomal RNA (229 nucleotides) under uncultured bacterium. RNAcentral's name for it is "partial 16S ribosomal RNA". It matches the Rfam family "Bacterial small subunit ribosomal RNA", at positions 568 to 796 of the family's 1533-position model. The record is from RNAcentral.